This 430-nucleotide ribosomal RNA is filed under the name Pseudomonadota bacterium. RNAcentral's name for it is "Proteobacteria bacterium partial 16S ribosomal RNA". It matches the Rfam family "Bacterial small subunit ribosomal RNA", at positions 355 to 776 of the family's 1533-position model. Lineage: Bacteria; Pseudomonadati; Pseudomonadota. The record is from RNAcentral.
UGGGGAAUAUUGGACAAUGGGGGGAACCCUGAUCCAGCCAUGCCGCGUGUGUGAAGAAGGCCUUAUGGUUGUAAAGCACUUUAAGCGAGGAGGAGGGUACUGGUAUUAAUACUACCAGGUACUGGACGUUACUCGCAGAAUAAGCACCGGCUAACUCUGUGCCAGCAGCCGCGGUAAUACAGAGGGUGCGAGCGUUAAUCGGAUUUACUGGGCGUAAAGCGUGCGUAGGCGGCUAAUUGAGUCGGAUGUGAAAUCCCCGAGCUUAACUUGGGAAUUGCAUUCGAUACUGGUUAUCUAGAGUGUGAGAGAGGAUGGUAGAAUACCGGGUGUAGCGUUGAAAUGCGUAGAGAUCUGGAGGAAUACCGAUGGCGAAGGCAGCCAUCUGGCCUAACACUGACGCUGAGAUACGAAAGCAUGGGGAGCAAACAGG